UGGAAAGAGACCCCAGAAGCCCAUAUCUUCAUAUCUGAUCUUCCUGGUCUCAAGAAAGAGGAAGUGAAGGUAGAGUUUGAUGAAGGGAGGGUGCUUCAGAUAAGCGGAGAAAGACCUCCUGUGGACAAAGAUGGGGAAAAUGAAAAGUGGCAUAGGGUUGAACGUUGCCGUGGGAAGUUCCUGAGGAGGUUUAGGUUGCCGGAAAAUGCUAAGACUGAUCAAGUGAAGGCUUCCAUGGAGAGUGGAGUGCUUGUUGUCACAGUGCCUAAAGAGAAGGUCAAGAAACCAGAGAAGAAGGUGAUUGAGAUCAAGUGAAUUUCCAUGCCUAAGCUCAACAUAGUGUGUGUGUGUGUGUGUCAUGUAUAAAAUGCAUGCAAAUUAUGAAUAAAGGUUUUUUUUUUUAAUUUUCUUUUAUGAUAUGGGAAUUCAAGAGCUGGACUUCCAUGUUGUUAUAAGGGUGUCAUGAUCAUUGUAUUAUGCCCAUUCCAGCAAAUAAAGUUUUUUGUG
RNAcentral lists this unclassified non-coding RNA (507 nucleotides) under Hevea brasiliensis (rubber tree). Lineage: Eukaryota; Viridiplantae; Streptophyta; Magnoliopsida; Malpighiales; Euphorbiaceae. The record is from RNAcentral.